Long non-coding RNA from Drosophila albomicans, 505 nucleotides. RefSeq lists it as uncharacterized. Lineage: Eukaryota; Metazoa; Arthropoda; Insecta; Diptera; Drosophilidae. The transcript has 3 exons. The record is from RefSeq and is a predicted model, not a curated record.
AAUAAUUUUUUACUACUUGAAUAACUUGACAUCAGAAGUUAGAAAGAAACUUAAAACACAUUGUAAAACAUAAAUAUUUAAGUGCACUUUGAUGAUAACAAGCUUAACAUUAAAGAGUUAAGUAACUUCGGUAUUCCAUAAAUGAAAAGAUAAAAAAACAGUCACUGGUAAAAAUAACUCAAUCGACAUCUUAACAUACUAUAAUAUAUAAAUUAAAUAACUGUUUAAGAUUUUAACAAAUGUAUAUAAGUAGUCAGAACGAAACUUAAAACAUAUUGUGCAAAAAAAAGUACUUUCAUGACAGCAUGCUCAACAUUUAAAACGUAAUUAACAAACAAAUUUAAGCAAGAAAAGUUGCAACUACAAAGGACUUGUCAACAUGAAAGGAAUGUAAGGAACUUAUUUAAGAAAAAGGAAUUAACUUUUCUUGUUCGAUUGGCAGGACAUCUUGGAAAGACAGCCAGCGUUUUGAUCUUGCAAAGGACUAAUUGAAUUAUGACCUCCA